Gavialis gangeticus (Gharial) is the source of this 99-nucleotide long non-coding RNA. RefSeq lists it as uncharacterized. Lineage: Eukaryota; Metazoa; Chordata; Crocodylia; Gavialidae. The transcript is spliced from 3 exons. The record is from RefSeq and is a predicted model, not a curated record.
UGAUACCUGCAUCAUGCUGGUAUCAAAUUUACACCCGAUUAGUUAUUGUGCAGUAAGGCACAUGUAAACGCCUUACUGUGCAGUAACACUGCGUGUGCA